This 254-nucleotide non-coding RNA is filed under the name uncultured bacterium. RNAcentral's name for it is "partial 16S ribosomal RNA". It matches the Rfam family "Bacterial small subunit ribosomal RNA", at positions 524 to 776 of the family's 1533-position model. The record is from RNAcentral. RNAcentral also lists the same sequence under 1 other name.
UACGUAGGGUCCGAGCGUUGUCCGGAUUUAUUGGGCGUAAAGAGCUCGUAGGUGGCUCCGUAAGUCGGGUGUGAAAACCCCAGGCUCAACCUGGGGACGCCACUCGAUACUGCGGUAGCUUGAGUCUGGUAGGGGAUCACGGAAUUCCUGGUGUAGCGGUGAAAUGCGCAGAUAUCAGGAGGAACACCAGUGGCGAAGGCGGUGAUCUGGGCCAGUACUGACACUGAGGAGCGAAAGCGUGGGGAGCGAACAGG